UAGGGAAUAUUGGUUAAUGGACGAAAGUCUGAACCAGCAACGCCGCGUGUGCGAUGAAGGCCUUCGGGUCGUAAAGCACUUUUUGAGGGGACGAGGAAGGACGGUACCCUCAGAAUAAGCCUCGGCUAACUACGUGCCAGCAGCCGCGGUAACACGUAGGAGGCUAGCGUUAUCCGGAUUUACUGGGCGUAAAGCGCGUGUAGGCGGCUCGGAUAGUUGGAUGUGAAAGCUCCUGGCUUAACUGGGAGAGGUCGUUCAAUACUUCCGGGCUCGAGAGUGGUAGAGGGAGGUGGAAUUCCGAGUGUAGUGGUGAAAUGCGUAGAUAUUCGGAGGAACACCAGUGGCGAAAGCGACCUCCUGGACCAUUUCUGACGCUCAGACGCGAAAGCUAGGGUAGCAAACGGG
This 405-nucleotide ribosomal RNA is filed under the name uncultured bacterium. Its description in RNAcentral is "bacterial SSU rRNA". It matches the Rfam family "Bacterial small subunit ribosomal RNA", at positions 355 to 776 of the family's 1533-position model. The record is from RNAcentral.